CAAGAAUGACAGGGGUGCCAAUAAGCGGCUGAGAUCAUACCCUUGAACCUGAUACGGUUAAUACCGGCGAAGGGAGUUAAUUGUUUUUUCUA
This 92-nucleotide non-coding RNA is filed under the name Alkalitalea saponilacus. RNAcentral's name for it is "TPP sequence". It matches the Rfam family "TPP riboswitch aptamer (THI element)". Rfam says of the family: Vitamin B(1) in its active form thiamin pyrophosphate (TPP) is an essential coenzyme that is synthesised by coupling of pyrimidine and thiazole moieties in bacteria. The previously detected thiamin-regulatory element, thi box was extended, resulting in a new, highly conserved RNA secondary structure, the THI element, which is widely distributed in eubacteria and also occurs in some archaea. Lineage: Bacteria; Pseudomonadati; Bacteroidota; Bacteroidia; Marinilabiliales; Marinilabiliaceae. The record is from Rfam by way of RNAcentral.